Molecule: ribosomal RNA, 335 nt
Filed under: uncultured archaeon
Lineage: Archaea
Description: partial 16S ribosomal RNA
Rfam family: Archaeal small subunit ribosomal RNA
Source: RNAcentral
CGGAAAACUGGGGAUAAUACCCUAUAGGAUAUUGAUGUGGAAUGCGCGAUAUCUGAAAGUUGAGGCGCCGCAGGAUGGGUCUGCGGCCGAUUAGGUAGUUGUUGGGGUAACGGCCCAACAAGCCUGUAAUCGGUACGGGUUGUGGGAGCAAGAGCCCGGAGAUGGUUCUUGAACAUGAAAUCCAGCCCCUACGGGGGCAGCAGGGGCGAAAACCUUACAAUGCGGGAAACCGUGAUAAGGGAACCCCGAGUGCCCGUAGAAUCGGGCUGUUGAUCUGUGUAAAAAGCAGGUAAAGAAAGGGCCGGGCAAGACCGGUGCCAGCCGCCGCGGUAACA